Long non-coding RNA from Mus musculus (house mouse), 1188 nucleotides. RefSeq annotates it as predicted gene, 40536. The transcript has 4 exons. The record is from RefSeq and is a predicted model, not a curated record. Lineage: Eukaryota; Metazoa; Chordata; Mammalia; Rodentia; Muridae.
CACUGGCAGCAGGAGGAGCAGCUGUUUCAAAUCUGUUGUGCACACUGACUGUCCCCAGGAAGACUUUCUUUGGCUCUGUGCGAUGGCAGAGAAGCUCUUAGAAUACACCUGGUCUCUGGGUGAGUCCAGUGGAAAUUAUCCAGGAGAUUUUAGGCUUUAUCCUGCCUGGGUGAAAUCUCAGCUCACCGUACAAGCUCAGAUCUGCGGUGGGAGCAAGUUACUAUGAAAUAGCGACAGCAAGAAGAGCGCAUGCCCCACCCGGCUGAUGUGAAGACCUAGGCCAGCGAGUGAAGAGAAUAGAGCUGAGAUGCCCUUGCCUAAGUGAUGGCCAUGGAUGGGGUGUGCCGGCCUCAGAGAGGAAGGAUUCUUGUUAAAGAGGAGCGUGAGGACAGCUGCUUGAGAAGACCAGGGAAGUGUAUUUCAAGAAUUGAGGGGAAGGAGGAGCCUGACAUUCUCGAAAGCAUUCCGAUUAUGAAAGUAAUGCAGUCGUCCCUUGGUGUCUGUGAGACCAAGACCUUCCUCUGAUCAACAGAUCCAUGAUGUCACCCUCUUUGACUCCUCCUCAUAUGACUCAUAGGCUGGACACAAUGGAAGUACUAUAAAAAAGGCAUUACACUGUAUCACUUAAGGGAUGAUGACGUGUGCUGAGGUCAACAACCAUUUCAAAGUAGAUGAAAGGUUUGGAGGAGACCAGGACCCAGCCUGUGGUCUAUGGCAAGACUACCCAGCCUGGGUGAAUGUGAGGUAAGAAUGCCCACUGGUCACACCGAUGAAACUUGGCACCACACACUGUUAACUGAUCAGCAAGUAUUGACAUGGGUACCCGAAACUCUUUCCAUAGGCCAGGUCACUGAAUCCUCAGAACAAUCUAAUGCCAUCAUCACUGCUCAUGCUUGGAUGCUGUUGCAUGGACCAGGGAAUCGCAGCAUUCGCAUCUGUACUGUCCGGGCUCUGGUGUGCUGCAUCCCAAGAUUCUCUACCUAUGCUUCCUUCCUGUAUCUCCAAAUCUCAGUCCUUUCAAAGUCUAAUCCUUCCCCUCCAACUCGCCAAGGCUAAAUUCACCUUCUUUCUCACAUCCUUGAGGCCAGUGACCUUCAUAUUUACUUGUUCUUAGACCUCCUAGGAGACCUAAAAUCUACACAUUUUUGAGUCACCUAAAAUUGUGAAGCUAUAAAAAUCAAUCCAGCU